This 284-nucleotide long non-coding RNA is filed under the name Mytilus galloprovincialis (Mediterranean mussel). Lineage: Eukaryota; Metazoa; Mollusca; Bivalvia; Mytilida; Mytilidae. The record is from RNAcentral.
CUCAAAAGCAAAACAAAUAUUUUAAGUUCAUAAGACCACAUUCAUUCUGUGUCAGAAACCUAUGCUGUGUCAACUAUUUAAUCACAAUCCAAAUUCAGAGCUGUAUCCAGCUUGAAUGUCGUGUCCAUACUUGCCCAAACCGUUCAGGGUUAGACCUCUGCGGUCGUAUAAAGCUGCACCCUGCGGAGAAUCUGGUUGUGUUUUGGUCUGUUUUUCUAAUACUAUAUGCAAUAGGUCAACUAUAUUUGGUUUAUGGAAUGAUUGUAAGGUGUACAUGUCUAGCU